RNAcentral lists this transfer RNA (86 nucleotides) under Candidatus Saccharimonadota bacterium. RNAcentral's name for it is "tRNA-Leu". It matches the Rfam family "tRNA". Rfam says of the family: Transfer RNA (tRNA) molecules are approximately 80 nucleotides in length. Their secondary structure includes four short double-helical elements and three loops (D, anti-codon, and T loops). Further hydrogen bonds mediate the characteristic L-shaped molecular structure. tRNAs have two regions of fundamental functional importance: the anti-codon, which is responsible for specific mRNA codon recognition, and the 3' end, to which the tRNAs corresponding amino acid is attached (by aminoacyl-tRNA synthetases). tRNAs cope with the degeneracy of the genetic code in two manners: having more than one tRNA (with a specific anti-codon) for a particular amino acid; and 'wobble' base-pairing, i.e. permitting non-standard base-pairing at the 3rd anti-codon position. RNAcentral also lists the same sequence under 2 other names. The record is from RNAcentral. Lineage: Bacteria; Candidatus Saccharimonadota.
GCCGGGAUGGCGAAAUGGUAUACGCGCUGGACUUAAAAUCCAGUGGGAGCAAUCCCGUGAGGGUUCGAGUCCCUCCCCCGGCACCA